UACGUAGGGGGCAAGCGUUGUCCGGAAUCAUUGGGCGUAAAGCGCGCGUAGGCGGCUACCUAAGUCGGAUGUGAAAGCCCCUGGCUCAACUGGGGAAGUGCACCCGAAACUGGAUAGCUUGAGUGCGAAAGAGGGUCGCGGAAUUCCCGGUGUAGAGGUGAAAUUCGUAGAUAUCGGGAGGAACACCGGUGGCGAAGGCGGCGACCUGGGUCGACACUGACGCUGAGGCGCGAAAGCCAAGGGAGCAAACAGG
Molecule: ribosomal RNA, 253 nt
Filed under: uncultured bacterium
Lineage: Bacteria
Description: partial 16S ribosomal RNA
Rfam family: Bacterial small subunit ribosomal RNA
Source: RNAcentral